GGCCUUUCACCAAGAUAGAGUCUUGCAGAGAAAUAGCUGGGGGUGGGGGUAUAUGCUUUUCAUAUUGGUUUGGGGUCUUUUGUAAGUUUUUCAAUGGCGUAGUAUUCCAUUGUGUAGAAGAUGUUUCAAUAAUUUCCUCAUCAUUCCAGGGUUUGGGACGGAAAGGGAUACGGUGGUGGGUGGGCACACUUGGUCCCGGAAGACACUCUUCUCUGUGGUUGGGGUGUCUUGGGUUGGUUUGGUUUGCAGACUGUGAGACCCCUGAGCACAUCAGCGGACACAGGCAGAGUGUUCUUGUUCUUUCCUGUUAUGUGUGGAAGCCACAGUCAUCUCUGAGUGGCUGGGGCCCUGAGUUUGGGAGCUCUGUUUUCUUCCUGGUGGCAAGCGUGGUGAGGCUGGGGGCCUCACAUCAGAACCCCCUGUGCCCUGGGAAGGGAUCUAGGCUCUGGCUCACAGUGAACCCUUGGCCAGGGUGACCCACAGCCCCACUUUGUGCCUUGAGGCCAAGGCUCUGAGGCUGCCGGAUACAGAGGCCCUCUCAUGGAGAAGGGGUCAGUGACAGAGGCCAAAGAAUAUGGCUCAGGUGAAGUGCAUGUCUAGGUGCUGGGCAGAGCCCAGGAGCAGCCCAGCUUAAAGACCCCAGACAAAGACGUCCUUCAGGGUAUACCAUCUCCGAUUUAUCUUGUCCUUGGAGUCCCCCAAACCCUGUCUGGUGUGGGCUCCUGCUUCAUGGGGUCAGAUACAAGGACACACACAGAGUCUUGACUAGGAAGAAGGCAAUGGGGCAUACCCGUCAAGCCCACCCUCCAGCCUCUGCUGUCAUGUGCUUGCCCCCCAGACGGAGGCCCACAAUGCAGCUUUGUGUGGCAGCUGGCUCCAACACAGGCCACAUGUCUGGGGCAUCCCUGGCUGGCCUGCAAUGCCAGCCCUGGAAGCCAGAGAUGCCAGGCUGGGGAGGGAGGAUGUGCCCUGCCCUGUCCUCCAGGGUCCUGGACCAGGUGCUGUCCAGAAAACACCUGGACUGGCCUGGUUGCCUCCGAGGACCCCUGGGGCUCUGUGGGGGAAUGAGCCUGCGGAGUGGGCCACCUGAGCCGAGGCCUGGCCAUAAGUCCCUCAACUAGCAGGGCCUGCUGGGUGCCCUGGCAUCACCAGGCCACUCAGCCAGGUGAACUGAGCCUGCCUCUGGGGUUCCCAACAGAGCCCCUGGUCUCAGGUAAAAUGAGAAAGCAAGGGCAGCCUGGUUAAUUUUUAUAAAGCUGAAUGCAUCUAUUUUUUAAAAUAUUUUUUUCAGGAGCUCCCAUUGUGGCUCAGUAGUAACAAAACUGACGAGUAUCCGUGAGGUCACGGACUCGAUCCCUGGACUCACUCAAUGGGUUGGGGAUCUGGCGUUGCCAUGAGAUAUGGAGUAGGUCACAGACUUGGUUUGGAUCCCAUCUUGCUGUGGCUGUGGCUGCAGCUCCAAUUUGACCCCUAGCCUGGGAACUUCCAUAUGCCGCAGGUAUGGCCCUAAAAAGACAAAAAAAAAAUUUUUUUUUCAGGUAUAAAAUCAUUCUUUUUAAAUGAAAGCAAUAUAGUAGGCAGAAGCUUUACUUAUUUAUUUAUCCAUUUAUCCAUUUAUUUAUUUAUUUAUUUAUUUGGCGGCCCCCAUGGCAUGUGGAAAUUCCCAGCUCAGGGAUCAAACCUACACCAUAGCAGCAGCCCAAGCCACAGCAGGGACAAUGCCAGAUCCUUAACCCACUGGGUCCCAAGUGAACUCCAAAGCUGUUUUUUAUCAUAACACCUUUAACUGACAAAGAAAACGUUGGCCACUCUAUUUUCAUCCCUGAAAGGAAGAAAGAAAGAAAGAAAGAGAAGAAAGAGAGAGAGAAAGAGAGAGAGAAAGAGAGAGAGAAAGAGAGAGAGAGAGAGAGAGAGAGAGAGAGAGAGAGAAAGAAAGAGAGAAAGAAAGAGAGAAAGAAAGAGAGAAAGAAAGAGAGAGAGAGAGAAAGAGAGAAAGAAAGAAAGAAAGAAAGAAAGAAAGAAAGAAAGAAAGAAAGAAAGAAAGAAAGAAAGAAAGAAAGAAAGAAAAGAAAGAAAGAAAAAGAAAGAAAGAAAUUGGUUCAUGGUGGCCCCAACCCUGACCCCACAGCAUAGUCUGGGCCUGGCUGGGCCUCAGGCAGAGCAGUUGAUUAGCCCUCAGGCAGGGGAGGCCUGAGUCUCCAGAGUUGACACUUGGGCAGGGGUGGGGGCGGUCUCAUGAGGCCCCAGGACUUCUCCCCUCUGGAUCAGGGAGGGGCUGACUAUUGGGGCUCCUCGCUGACACCUGAAUGGCUGAGCAAGGCUGGGUAGAGAUGAAGUGUGUACCCAGCAAAGACAGUGCCCUGUCUGCUUUUAUCUCCGCCCUGGUCAGCCCCCGGCCCAUGUGAACAGGUCUGGGAACUGGGCCAGAGCCAGGAAAGCCCCGCUGUGACCCUAGGCAGGAAGACCCCUCCUCAGCUCUUCCCUUAGAGGACAGGGCAGUGCUGAUGGGCUCCCCACAUUGUCCCUCUGCCCAGCCACCUGGCUGUCCUCUUUUUUUUUUUUUUUUUUGCUUUUUAGAGCCACACCCAUAACACAUGGAGAGUCCCAGGCUAGGGUUCCAAUCAGCUGCCAGCCUCCGCCACAGCCACAGCAACGCGGGAUCUGAGCUACGUCUGUGACCUACACCACAGCUCACAGCAAUGCCAGAUCCUUAAUCCACUGAGCAAGGCCAGGGAUCGAACUCACAACCUCAUGAUUCCUAGUCAGAUUCGUUUCCGCUGUGCCACAACGGGAACCCCCUGGCGUCCUCUUUAAGAGAGCAUGGGGGUGUGGGAGGGGGAGGAGAUGCCUCUUUCCUGAGUAACUCAGCCUGGAUUUGAGAAAAACAGCUGUCCCUUGUCCAUUGGACACUGACUGUCCCCUGCUUGUUAGGGAUGAGUCCACAAGGCUUUAAUAGGACCAAACCAACUGCCUGAGAUCUUACCAGGCCUGAAGUGGGUCCCCACCGGAUUAGGCCUCCUGGAGGGAGGGAGUACCAGGUUCUCCAUAAAAGGCCUAGCAGGAAAAUUGCUUUUCAUUCACUGAAAUGCUUAGGAAAGUAAGGCAUCUGUUCUGGUUCUACUUUUCAAAUGACAUGGUAAUACAUCAAGCUUCAUUUAAGAAGCAAUACCUUCAGAUAUUUCUUGGACUGGAUUUGCAUAAUUUCAUUUUUAAAAAACGAAAAAAGGCCUUCCUACCUAGGUCUGAUUCUCCCAAAGAUUUGAACCUGUUGAUGAUUAAGCAGGACUUUUCUAGAGCACUGGAGAAAGGGCUCAGCCCUGAGGGUCCUUGAUACUCAGCCCCUCAAUGCUCCUCAGGAAUUCACUGUUGCGACCUCCUUAAUCAGGAAGAGGUAAGUGGAGAGAUGCUUCUAGGCUUGGAAAAUCCAUCCCCCAUCCAGUCCAGAACUUUUUGUGUACCUGGGGGAGGCGGCAAGGGCACUGUUGGGUCGAGGGAGCAUGCCUCCACUGAAUGCCAUGAGCCCUACAGUGGGACCCUGGGCCGGGCCCCGCAUUCAGGAAGCCACAGCCUGGGAGGAAGUCAGGUGGGCAAAGGAAGGGAAGAAGCCCCAGGUGGCUGGGUGAGUGGGUGGGCAGAGAAGACCCCAGAACAAAAAAUUAUGCCCAGCAUGGCCACCUGUGCAGGCCAGGCUGGAGGGUCCCUCACUGUUCCCCAAUCCAGUGAGGGUCCAGUUCCCAGGAAUGAGUUUCUGCUGAGUGGGAUUCCUGGGUUCUUCCCCGAAGACUUGCAGUCACUGCCCCAGUGCAGCCAUGGAGCACUUGGGAGCCCAAGGGAAGGCAGUGAGGUGAGGCCAGCAGUUCUGAGGUGACAAGGGGAGGCCCAGGCCACCUCUCAAAGCCAUUGUUCUCAUUUGUGUCAGGGAGACCCCUGGGAGGGAAAGCCAAGUUGUUCACUUGGCUUUUCUCACUGAUGUCCCUGGAAGUAGUCACUGGGGACUCCACUGGGGUGGGGUGCCAGCACUAAGGGAGUUCAGGCUCUGGGCCCAGAAGUGAGACCGCGCACUGGUUUCUGGACCUUGUUUCUGUAGGGUUCCAAGGCUUCCACUGUCAGACACAAGGACAAUGACAGUACCCACUCUCAAGGCAAAGUCAGACCUCCCUCAAGACUGAAUGCGAAGUAUGGGGGCUAUUGCCCUCAGGACUGAGUGGAGGUGGGGGGUUCAUGCCCUCAGAAUUGGGUGGGAGUUCCCGUCGUAGCUCAGCGGUUGGUGAACCUGACUAGCAUCCAUGAGGACAUAGGUUCAAACCCUGGCCUUGCUCAGUGAAUUAAAGAUCCGGCGUUGCCAUGAGCUGUGGUGUAGGUCACAGAUGCAGCUUGAUUCCCAUGUUGUUGCAGCUGUGGCUGGAGCUCCAAUUCGACCCCUAGCCUGGGAACCUCCAUAUGCCAUGGGUGUGGCCC
RNAcentral lists this long non-coding RNA (4458 nucleotides) under Sus scrofa (pig). RNAcentral describes it as "lncRNA (ENSSSCG00000058025.1)". The record is from RNAcentral. Lineage: Eukaryota; Metazoa; Chordata; Mammalia; Artiodactyla; Suidae.